UUGACAGUCCCAGCACCACCUGCCCUCGUGAGAUACACGAGGUGGGGUCUUCGCCGCUUGCGGUCGUAUCUCGGAGCAUUGAGAUAUGGGAAGUGAAGACCUGCGGAUUAGUCCGCUUGAUGACGUGGUACGCAGGACGU
RNAcentral lists this non-coding RNA (140 nucleotides) under unclassified sequences. RNAcentral's name for it is "RAGATH-24 RNA". It matches the Rfam family "RAGATH-24 RNA". From Rfam's summary of the family: Environmental. Nearby to self-cleaving ribozyme genes The record is from Rfam by way of RNAcentral.